CGCGAGGUAGAGCAAAUCUCAAAAAAACAUCUCAGUUCAGACUGCAGGCUGCAACUCGCCUGCACGAAGUCGGAAUUGCUAGUAAUCGUAGGUCAGCAUACUACGGUGAAUACGUUCCCGGGCCUUGUACACACCGCCCGUCAAACCAUGAGAGUUGGCAACACCCGAAGUCGGUAGUCUAACCGCAAGGAGGACCGCCGCCGAAGGUGGGGUUGAUGAUUAGGGUUAAGUCGUAACAAGGUAAC
RNAcentral lists this ribosomal RNA (245 nucleotides) under uncultured bacterium. RNAcentral describes it as "partial 16S ribosomal RNA". It matches the Rfam family "Bacterial small subunit ribosomal RNA", at positions 1256 to 1500 of the family's 1533-position model. The record is from RNAcentral.